This is a small nuclear RNA of Oryctolagus cuniculus (rabbit), 181 nucleotides long. Its record names the gene U2. It matches the Rfam family "U2 spliceosomal RNA". Rfam says of the family: U2 is a small nuclear RNA (snRNA) component of the spliceosome (involved in pre-mRNA splicing). Complementary binding between U2 snRNA (in an area lying towards the 5' end but 3' to hairpin I) and the branchpoint sequence (BPS) of the intron results the bulging out of an unpaired adenosine, on the BPS, which initiates a nucleophilic attack at the intronic 5' splice site, thus starting the first of two transesterification reactions that mediate splicing. Lineage: Eukaryota; Metazoa; Chordata; Mammalia; Lagomorpha; Leporidae. The record is from Ensembl.
UUCGUUGCGCCACAGUGCCGGCCCCAGUAUCUGUUCUUAUCAGUUUAAUAUUUGAUACGUCCUCUAUGUGAGGACAAUAUAUUAAAUGGAUUUUCAGAGCAGGGAGAUGGAAUAUGAGCUUGCUCCAUCCAUUCUAUGCAUGGACCUGGUAUUGCCGAAUGUUUAAAAAAGGGAAAUCACA